This 96-nucleotide microRNA precursor is filed under the name Podarcis lilfordi (Lilford's wall lizard). The record is from RNAcentral. Lineage: Eukaryota; Metazoa; Chordata; Lepidosauria; Squamata; Lacertidae.
CUUCCAGUAGCACCUUAGAGACCAACUAAGUUUGUUAUUGGUAUGAGCUUUCGUACAAAUAACAAACUUAGUUGGUCUCUAAGAUGCUACUGGAAG